GACGAACGCUGGCGGCGUGCUUAACACAUGCAAGUCGAACGGUGAAGCGCCUUCCUUUUUGGUGGGUGUGGAUGAGUGGCGAACGGGUGAGUAACACGUGAGUAACCUGCCCCCUUCUUCUGGAUAACCGCAUGAAAGUGUGGCUAAUACGGGAUAUUCUGGGUCUGUCGCAUGAUGGGUCUGGGAAAGAUAUUGUUUCGGUGGGGGAUGGGCUCGCGGCCUAUCAGCUUGUUGGUGGGGUGAUGGCCUACCAAGGCGGUGACGGGUAGCCGGCCUGAGAGGGUGGACGGCCACACUGGGACGGAGACACGGCCAAGACUCCUACGGGAGGCAGCAGUGGGGAAUAUUGCACAAUGGGCGCAAGCCUGAUGCAGCGACGCCGCGUGAGGGAUGGAGGCCUUCGGGUUGUGGACCUCUUUCGCCAGUGAAGCAGGCCUGCCUCGUUUGUGGGUGGGUUGACGGUAGCUGGAUAAGAAGCGCCGGCUAACUACGUG
RNAcentral lists this ribosomal RNA (494 nucleotides) under uncultured bacterium. Its description in RNAcentral is "partial 16S ribosomal RNA". It matches the Rfam family "Bacterial small subunit ribosomal RNA", at positions 28 to 507 of the family's 1533-position model. The record is from RNAcentral.